RNAcentral lists this ribosomal RNA (386 nucleotides) under uncultured bacterium. RNAcentral's name for it is "bacterial SSU rRNA". It matches the Rfam family "Bacterial small subunit ribosomal RNA", at positions 30 to 417 of the family's 1533-position model. The record is from RNAcentral.
AUUGAACGCUGGCGGAAUGCUUUACACAUGCAAGUCGAACGGUAGAGGGGGCAACCCCUUGAGAGUGGCGAACGGGUGAGUAAUAUAUCGGAACGUGCCCAGUCGUGGGGAUAACGUAGCGAAAGUUACGCUAAUACCGCAUACGAUCUACGGAUGAAAGCGGGGGACUCGCAAGAGCCUCGCGCGAUUGGAGCGGCCGAUAUCAGAUUAGGUAGUUGGUGGGGUAAAGGCUCACCAAGCCAACGAUCUGUAGCUGGUCUGAGAGGACGACCAGCCACACUGGAACUGAGACACGGUCCAGACUCCUACGGGAGGCAGCAGUGGGGAAUUUUUGGGACAAUGGGCGCAAGCCUGAUCCAGCAAUGCCGCGUGCAGGAUGAAGGCCU